AUUGAACGCUGGCGGCGUGCCUAAUACAUGCAAGUCGAACGGAGUGGCGCACGGGUGAGUAAUAUAUAUCUAAUCUGCCCCUUGCUGGAGGACAACAGUUCGAAAUGACUGCUAAAACUCCAUAGCAAGGGAUGAGACUCUAUCGUAUCAGCUAGUCGGUGGGGUAACGGGCUACCGAGGCGAUGACGCGUAACUGGUCUGAGAGGAUGAGCAGUCAAAUUGGAAGUGAGACACGGGCCAAGAUCCUACGAGAGGCAGCAGAAGGGAAUACUGCGCAAGGGGGGAAACCCUGACGCGGCAACGCCGCGUGGAGGAUGAUACUUUGCGGAGCAUAAACGCCUUUUGUUAGGGAAGCGGUACCUAACGAAUAAGCACCGGCUAACUCCGUGCCAGCAGCCGCGGUAAUUC
Molecule: ribosomal RNA, 408 nt
Filed under: uncultured bacterium
Lineage: Bacteria
Description: partial 16S ribosomal RNA
Rfam family: Bacterial small subunit ribosomal RNA
Source: RNAcentral